GUAACGGCGAGUGAAGCGGUAACAGCUCAAAUUUGAAAUCUGGCUCCUACGGAGUCCGAGUUGUAAUUUGUAGAAGAUGCUUUGGGUUGUGGGUUUGGCCUAAGUUCCUUGGAACAGGACGUCGCAGAGGGUGAGAAUCCCGUAUGUGGCCGAGGCCCGCGCCUAUGUAAAGCUCUUUCAACGAGUCGAGUUGUUUGGGAAUGCAGCUCAAAAUGGGUGGUAAAUUUCAUCUAAAGCUAAAUAUGGGCCAGAGACCGAUAGCGCACAAGUAGAGUGAUCGAAAGAUGAAAAGCACUUUGGAAAGAGAGUUAAACAGUACGUGAAAUUGUUGAAAGGGAAGCGCUUGCAACCAGACUUGGGCGCUGCCGAUCACCCCGAGUUCUCUCGGGUGCACUCGACCGCGCACAGGCCAGCAUCGGUUCGGGUGGCUGGAUAAAGGCCGUAGGAACGUGGCUCCCUCCGGGGAGUGUUAUAGCCUACGGUGCCAUGCAGCCCAGCCGGACCGAGGACCGCGCCUUCGGGCUAGGAUGCUGGCGUAAUGGUUGUAAGCGACCCGUCUUGAAACACGGACCAAGGAGUCUAACAUCUAUGCGAGUGUUUGGGUGGUAAACCCAUACGCGGAAUGAAAGUGAACGUAGGUGAGAACCCCUUUGGGGCGCAUCAUCGACCGAUCCUGAUGUCUUCGGAUGGAUUUGAGUAAGAGCAUAGCUGUUGGGACCCGAAAGAUGGUGAACUAUGCCUGAAUAGGGUGAAGCCAGAGGAAACUCUGGUGGAGGCUCGCAGCGGUUCUGACGUGC
This 797-nucleotide ribosomal RNA is filed under the name Erysiphe syringae. RNAcentral's name for it is "eukaryotic LSU rRNA". It matches the Rfam family "Eukaryotic large subunit ribosomal RNA", at positions 83 to 894 of the family's 3401-position model. Lineage: Eukaryota; Fungi; Ascomycota; Leotiomycetes; Helotiales; Erysiphaceae. The record is from RNAcentral.